RNAcentral lists this ribosomal RNA (500 nucleotides) under uncultured bacterium. RNAcentral describes it as "partial 16S ribosomal RNA". It matches the Rfam family "Bacterial small subunit ribosomal RNA", at positions 29 to 523 of the family's 1533-position model. The record is from RNAcentral.
AUUGAACGCUGGCGGCAUGCCUUACACAUGCAAGUCGAACGGCAGCACGGGAGCAAUCCUGGUGGCGAGUGGCGAACGGGUGAGUAAAGUAUCGGAACGUGCCCAGUCGUGGGGGAUAACGUAGCGAAAGUUACGCUAAUACCGCAUACGAUCUAUGGAUGAAAGCGGGGGAUCGCAAGACCUCGCGCGAUUGGAGCGGCCGAUAUCAGAUUAGGUAGUUGGGGGGGUAAAGGCCCACCAAGCCGACGAUCUGGAGCUGGUCUGAGAGGACGACCAGCCACACUGGGACUGAGACACGGCCCAGACUCCUACGGGAGGCAGCAGUGGGGAAUUUUGGACAAUGGGCGAAAGCCUGAUCCAGCCACGCCGCGUGCAGGAUGAAGGCCUUCGGGUUGUAAACUGCUUUUGUACGGAACGAAAAGGACUGCCCUAAUACGGUGGUCCCAUGACGGUACCGUAAGAAUAAGCACCGGCUAACUACGUGCCAGCAGCCGCCGUAA